CAGCUGCACAGCUCCAGACAAUCGUUGUCAAGGACGGGAAUGAGAUUCUAACAUGGCUGAUCUGAUUUUUCAAGAAAGGUGAAAGACCCAAAUUCAUGGAAGAGAAGUGAGUCACACAGGGAGCCAGUGGCAGAGCCACACCCCACAGAGCAAUCAACAUGCUCUACUCUGCAGACCUGCAACAGGGAGGGAAGCCAGACUCUGAUGCAAGAAGGAAAGACCAUGUGCUGGCUCAGUGUGUGCAGCCUGGACUGAGCUACUGAACUCUAAAUCCAAGGAUGACUAAUGUAAGCCUAAAGGGUAAUCUGCAAAUACUGCUCCAUUAAUAUUCAAUGAUAAAUGAUAUUGCUUUAGAAUCAAAUUCACAUAAACAGAAGCUUCAGCUGUAUGUCCGCACCCUGGGAACAUUAAAUUGUAAGCCACGUCUUGUA
This 431-nucleotide long non-coding RNA is filed under the name Homo sapiens (human). Its description in RNAcentral is "non-protein coding lnc-BOD1-4:3". Lineage: Eukaryota; Metazoa; Chordata; Mammalia; Primates; Hominidae. The record is from RNAcentral.